This 426-nucleotide ribosomal RNA is filed under the name uncultured bacterium. Its description in RNAcentral is "partial 16S ribosomal RNA". It matches the Rfam family "Bacterial small subunit ribosomal RNA", at positions 354 to 796 of the family's 1533-position model. The record is from RNAcentral.
GUGAGGAAUUUUCCGCAAUGGGCGAAAGCCUGACGGAGCAAUGCCGCGUGAAGGAUGAAGGCCUAUGGGUUGUAAACUUCUUUUCUCAGAAAAGAAUUAUGACGGUAUCUGAGGAAUAAGCAUCGGCUAACUCUGUGCCAGCAGCCGCGGUAAGACAGAGGAUGCAAGCGUUAUCCGGAAUGAUUGGGCGUAAAGCGUCUGUAGGUUGUUUAAAAAGUAUUCUGUCAAAGAUUAGGGCUUAACCCUAGAUAGGCAGAAUAAACUUUUAAGCUAGAGUUAGGUAGAGGCAGAGGGAAUUCCCGGUGGAGCGGUGAAAUGCGUAGAUAUCGGGAGGAACACCAAAGGCGAAGGCACUCUGCUGGGCCAAUACUAACACUGAGAGACGAAAGCGAGGGGAGCAAAUGGGAUUAGAAACCCGUGUAGUCC